CCUACGGGGGGCCGCAGUGGGGAAUAUUGGACAAUGGGGGCAACCCUGAUCCAGCCAUGCCGCGUGUGUGAAGAAGGCCCUCGGGUUGUAAAGCACUUUCAGUGAGGAAGAACGCCUGGUGGUUAAUACCCAUCAGGAAAGACAUCACUCACAGAAGAAGCACCGGCUAACUCCGUGCCAGCAGCCGCGGUAAUACGGAGGGUGCGAGCGUUAAUCGGAAUUACUGGGCGUAAAGCGCGCGUAGGUGGCUUGAUAAGCCGGUUGUGAAAGCCCCGGGCUCAACCUGGGAACGGCAUCCGGAACUGUCAAGCUAGAGUGCAGGAGAGGAAGGUAGAAUUCCCGGUGUAGCGGUGAAAUGCGUAGAGAUCGGGAGGAAUACCAGUGGCGAAGGCGGCCUUCUGGACUGACACUGACACUGAGGUGCGAAAGCGUGGGUAGCAAACAGGAUUAGAUACCCCAGUAGUC
This 465-nucleotide ribosomal RNA is filed under the name Vreelandella stevensii. RNAcentral's name for it is "partial 16S ribosomal RNA". It matches the Rfam family "Bacterial small subunit ribosomal RNA", at positions 338 to 795 of the family's 1533-position model. Lineage: Bacteria; Pseudomonadati; Pseudomonadota; Gammaproteobacteria; Oceanospirillales; Halomonadaceae. The record is from RNAcentral.